CCUACGGGUGGCAGCAGUGGGGAAUAUUGCACAAUGGGGGAAACCCUGAUGCAGCGACGUCGCGUGAGCGAUGAAGUAUCUCGGUAUGUAAAGCUCUAUUAGCAGGGAAGAAAAUGACGGUACCUGACUAAGAAGCCCCGGCUAACUACGUGUCAGCAGCCGCGGUAAUACGUGGGGGGCAAGCGUUAUCCGGAUUUACUGGGGGUAAAGGGAGCGUAGGCGGGUGUGCAAGCCAGAUGUGAAAGCCCGGGGCUCAACCCCGGGACUGCAUUUGAAACCGGGUGGCUGGAGUGUGGGAGAGGCAGGCGGAAUGCGUGGGGUAGCGGUGAAAUGCAUAGAUAUUAGGAAGAACACCGAUGGCGAAGGCAGCAUGCUGGACUCUGACUGACGUUGAGGCUCGAAAGCGUGGGGAGCAAACAGGAUUAGAUACCCUUGUAGUC
Molecule: ribosomal RNA, 440 nt
Filed under: uncultured bacterium
Lineage: Bacteria
Description: partial 16S ribosomal RNA
Rfam family: Bacterial small subunit ribosomal RNA
Source: RNAcentral